AACGUAGGGAAACUUACGCUAAUACCGCAUACGACCUACGGGUGAAAGCAGGGGACCUUCGGACCUUGCGCGAUUGAAUGAGCCGAUGUCGGAUUAGCUAGUUGGCGGGGUAAAGGCCCACCAAGGCGACGAUCCGUAGCUGGUCUGAGAGGAUGAUCAGCCACACUGGAACUGAGACACGGUCCAGACUCCUACGGGAGGCAGCAGUGGGGAAUAUUGGACAAUGGGCGCAAGCCUGAUCCAGCCAUACCGCGUGGGUGAAGAAGGCCUUCGGGUUGUAAAGCCCUUUUGUUGGGAAAGAAAUCCAGCCGGCUAAUACCUGGUUGGGAUGACGGUACCCAAAGAAUAAGCACCGGCUAACUUCGUGCCAGCAGCCGCGGUAAUACGAAGGGUGCAAGCGUUACUCGGAAUUACUGGGCGUAAAGCGUGCGUAGGUGGUUGUUUAAGUCUGUUGUGAAAGCCCUGGGCUCAACCUGGGAACUGCAGUGGAAACUGGACAACUAGAGUGUGGUAGAGGGUAGCGGAAUUCCCGGUGUAGCAGUGAAAUGCGUAGAGAUCGGGAGGAACAUCCAUGGCGAAGGCAGCUACCUGGACCAACACUGACACUGAGGCACGAAAGCGUG
RNAcentral lists this ribosomal RNA (623 nucleotides) under Lysobacteraceae bacterium. Its description in RNAcentral is "bacterial SSU rRNA". It matches the Rfam family "Bacterial small subunit ribosomal RNA", at positions 145 to 763 of the family's 1533-position model. The record is from RNAcentral. Lineage: Bacteria; Pseudomonadati; Pseudomonadota; Gammaproteobacteria; Lysobacterales; Lysobacteraceae.